Molecule: ribosomal RNA, 375 nt
Filed under: uncultured bacterium
Lineage: Bacteria
Description: bacterial SSU rRNA
Rfam family: Bacterial small subunit ribosomal RNA
Source: RNAcentral
AUACGUAGGUGGCGAGCGUUGUCCGGAAUUAUUGGGCGUAAAGCGCGCGCAGGCGGGAUAUUAAGUCUACUCUAAAAGUGCGGGGCUCAACCCCGUGACGGGGUGGAAACUAGUAUUCUUGAGUGCCGGAGAGGAAAGCGGAAUUCCCAGUGUAGCGGUGAAAUGCGUAGAUAUUGGGAGGAACACCAGUGGCGAAGGCGGCUUUCUGGACGGUGUCUGACGCGGAGGCGCGAAAGCAAGGGGGGCGAACGGGAUUAGAUGCCCCGGUAGUCCUGGCCGUAAACGAUGGGUACUAGGUGUAGGGGGUAUCGACCCCCCCUGUGCCGGAGUUAACGCAAUAAGUACCCCGCCUGGGGAGUACGGCCGCAAGGUUGA